GAGUUUCUCUAUUUAUCAUUUUCUCAUUUUCUUUUCUUCGUUUUUCAAAUCCUAAAUCCUAUCAGAGUAUAUCUAUUUAUUCAGAAGCAAGUGUCUCGGAGUAGUCAGUAGAGAG
This 115-nucleotide non-coding RNA is filed under the name Picochlorum sp. RCC944. Lineage: Eukaryota; Viridiplantae; Chlorophyta; Trebouxiophyceae. The record is from RNAcentral.